This 433-nucleotide ribosomal RNA is filed under the name uncultured bacterium. RNAcentral describes it as "partial 16S ribosomal RNA". It matches the Rfam family "Bacterial small subunit ribosomal RNA", at positions 29 to 507 of the family's 1533-position model. The record is from RNAcentral.
AACGAACGCUGGCGGCAUGCCUAACACAUGCAAGUCGAACGAGAACUUCGGGUCUAGUGGCGCACGGGUGCGUAACGCGUGGGAACCUGCCCUUAGGUUCGGAAUAACUCACCGAAAGGGGUGCUAAUACCGGAUAAUGUCUUCGGACCAAAGAUUUCUCGCCUUUGGGUGGGGCCGCGUUGGAUUCGCUGGUUGGGAGGGUAAAAGCCUACCAAGGCGACGAUCCAGAGCUGGUCUGAGAGGAUGAUCAGCCAGACUGGGACUGAGACACGGCCCAGACUCCUACGGGAGGCAGCAGUGGGGAAUAUUGGACAAUGGGCGAAAGCCUGAUCCAGCAAUGCCGCGUGAGUGAUGAAGGCCUUAGGGUUGUAAAGCUCUUUUACCCGGGAUGAUAAUGACAGUACCGGGAGAAUAAGCUCCGGCUAACUCCGUG